RNAcentral lists this ribosomal RNA (466 nucleotides) under uncultured bacterium. Its description in RNAcentral is "partial 16S ribosomal RNA". It matches the Rfam family "Bacterial small subunit ribosomal RNA", at positions 339 to 795 of the family's 1533-position model. The record is from RNAcentral.
CUACGGGCCGCAGCAGUCGAGAAUAGUCUACAAUGGGGGAAACCCUGAUAGUGCGACGCCGCGUGAACGAAGAAGCUUUUCGGAGUGUAAAGUUCUUUUCUGUAUGAGCAAUGCUUUAUUGUUUAAGAGAUAAUAGAGAGAGAUAUUAGUACAGGAAUAAGCCACGGCUAACUCCGUGCCAGCAGCCGCGGUAAUACGGGGGUGGCAAGCGUUGUCCGGAAUUACUAGGCGUAAAGGGCAGGUAGGCGGAUAUUCAAGUCAGGCGUUAAAGGCAUCAGCUCAACUGGUGUACGGCGUUUGAAACUGGAGAGCUAGAGUCAGGUAGAGGUAGAUGGAAUUCCUAGUGUAGCGGUGGAAUGCGCAGAGAUUAGGAAGAACACCAAAGGCGAAGGCAAUCUACUGGGCCAUGACUGACGCUAAACUGCGAAGGUGUGGGUAUCAAACAGGAUUAGAUACCCUUGUAGUC